AAAGGAAAAUAAUGACUAAAAUGGUAGUGAACAUUUCGUAUUAAGACUGUCUGCAAAUAUUGAUUAUAAUACUGCAAAUAAAAGAAGAAAAAAUAAAAACAAGGAACCAAAUCUUGGAAAGAAUGCACAACUCUGCAGAGAGGAUGAAUACUAGCUCAGUUCAGUGAAUUCAUGUUUGUUUCAUAAAGAAGCCAUUUCUGCACACUAUUUCCAUUUGGCAAGAAUAAUUAAUCUUCAAUAUAUAAACUCCUGCAGCUCCCGGAUUCCUAGCAGCCACGGUGGGUGGUGCAGUCUUCUGUCACAUGGAUGUAGUCACCCUCCUCCUCCGCCAUUUUUAGUCACCGUCUGUGUUGGUGAUUGGAGAAAGUUGCAAACAUCCAGAUUUUCCCAUUAAAACUCUAAUAAAUUUUACCAUGCAGCGUCAAGCACUGUGACUGCUUCUGCCUGGAGGGUGAGGCUGGGAGAGGCGUCACCACAGCCAAGCCACUGGCAGUGCCGUGCAGGGUUGGACAGGUUAGCAGUGCAGCAAGAAGUGGCAAUCGCCAUGCACAGGAUAGUUCUUCAAGCUGGAAGCUUCCAAUGGCAGCUUGUUGGGAAAAAUCCAUGAACCCCUGGUGAUUUUCUAAGAAACAACCUGCUUGUGUGAUCCUACGGUAAAGUCAAAGCAGAAGUCAAAGUAUAGCAUACAGUUUUCUUUGAAAAUUUGAAAAAAAGAAGAAAUUGCAAAUAGAACCAG
Molecule: long non-coding RNA, 736 nt
Filed under: Heterocephalus glaber (naked mole-rat)
Lineage: Eukaryota; Metazoa; Chordata; Mammalia; Rodentia; Bathyergidae
Description: lncRNA (ENSHGLG00000047774.1)
Source: RNAcentral